CCUACGGGUGGCUGCAGUGGGGAAUAUUGCACAAUGGGCGCAAGCCUGAUGCAGCCAUGCCGCGUGUGUGAAGAAGGCCUUCAGGUUGUAAAGCACUUUCAGCGGGGAGGAAGGCGGUGAGGCUAAUAACCUCAUCGAUUGACGUUACCCGCAGAAGAAGCACCGGCUAACUCCGUGCCAGCAGCCGCGGUAAUACGGAGGGUGCAAGCGUUAAUCGGAAUUACUGGGCGUAAAGCGCACGCAGGCGGUCUGUCAAGUCGGAUGUGAAAUCCCCGGGCUCAACCUGGGAACUGCAUUCGAAACUGGCAGGCUAGAGUCUUGUAGAGGGGGGUAGAAUUCCAGGUGUAGCGGUGAAAUGCGUAGAGAUCUGGAGGAAUACCGGUGGCGAAGGCGGCCCCCUGGACAAAGACUGACGCUCAGGUGCGAAAGCGUGGGGAGCAAACAGGAUUAGAUACCCUUGUAGUC
Molecule: ribosomal RNA, 465 nt
Filed under: uncultured Klebsiella sp.
Lineage: Bacteria; Pseudomonadati; Pseudomonadota; Gammaproteobacteria; Enterobacterales; Enterobacteriaceae
Description: bacterial SSU rRNA
Rfam family: Bacterial small subunit ribosomal RNA
Source: RNAcentral